GGGGCCUUAGCUCAGCUGGGAGAGCGCAUCGCUGGCAGCGAUGAGGUCAGGAGUUCGAUCCUCCUUGGCUCCACCA
RNAcentral lists this transfer RNA (76 nucleotides) under Paenibacillus spiritus. Its description in RNAcentral is "tRNA-Ala". It matches the Rfam family "tRNA". Rfam says of the family: Transfer RNA (tRNA) molecules are approximately 80 nucleotides in length. Their secondary structure includes four short double-helical elements and three loops (D, anti-codon, and T loops). The record is from RNAcentral. Lineage: Bacteria; Bacillati; Bacillota; Bacilli; Caryophanales; Paenibacillaceae.